UCACAACAGAUGCAGAUGAAGAGAUGUGU
This 29-nucleotide non-coding RNA is filed under the name Homo sapiens (human). The record is from RNAcentral. Lineage: Eukaryota; Metazoa; Chordata; Mammalia; Primates; Hominidae.